This 1756-nucleotide long non-coding RNA is filed under the name Capsicum annuum. RNAcentral's name for it is "long non-coding RNA (CANN_LNC012402)". Lineage: Eukaryota; Viridiplantae; Streptophyta; Magnoliopsida; Solanales; Solanaceae. The record is from RNAcentral.
GGGAUGAUUGGAAUGGUUCCUAAUGAAUUUUUGUACCAUUUAUGUUAUCUUAAGGUUUUUGGUGGCUUUGAAAGCAUUAUAGUUCAUUUCAGUUGAUAUCUUUUGACCCGUGCAACCGAUGGCAAAUUGUAUUGUGCUAGUAAAUCUGGAACAUCAAUUUUAGAGUAGAAACAUGGUUGGUGUAGUUUUAUGGAUUUUAAAUCAUAUUUCGACUCAGUUUGAAAAGUUGUGAUUUUGUGUUUUGGGUGUAAACUUUGUGGAAAUGACAUCUUUUAUAAAAUCUGAUAUCUCUAUUAAGUUUGGAUCAUCGAAUUUAAUAAGGUAGCAUAGCUUAUUUGUGUUGAAAGAAUUUUGAAUGAAUUCCAAGGGGAUCGUGGAGACUUGGAAAUACACCAAAUCCCCAGCUGGUGCCCCAGCGACCACGAUGCUUCUGUUGCGAUCAUGAUUGGUCCUCAAAAUAUAGUGUCAUAAUCUUGAUACCCCUUUCGUACUUGCAAUAUCGUUGAUAGGCUGGUUCUCGCUAUUUUUAACAAUUUCUGAGACUUGGAGUUUAGCAUUUCGUGAUUUUGAGAUAUUUCCUCUAAUUCUAAUCUUGGGUCAUCUCCAUAACACCUAUUUAUAUUAUUUUCUUCAAUCUGUAUCAUCUAAUUUUUAUUUUAAACUUGAAUAAUGUAUGUAAUUUGGGGAUUUUGGCCCGAAAGGCCUAAUAAUUGUAAUUCUUGAAUUUAAACCCCAAUUUCUACCAUUUUCACUAGGAUGAGUUUCUAUCAUCAUAAAUAUCAGUUUUUCCUACAUUUCAUCUUCAAAACAACUUCGAUGUUCGAUUUAGAAAUGGAUUUUGGUAAUUGUUAGCCAGUAAAGAAAGAAAAUGUUUUUUUUAUUUGGAACUCAUUUUUAACUUGAUUUUAUUUGGCUUUUCAGCUAUAGACUCCUAAAAAUAUGAGGAAAUUUUUUUUUGAAAUAAAGUUAUGAUGUUUCCCUUCAUUUUCAAAAUCUAUAAUGCAUAAAUUCUAUUUUCCAUAUUUUAAUCAAUUCUUGGUUAUUUUGUGAGAAACAAGUCUUUAGGAUUGAAGUGCUGCAAACCCAUUUUUUGCAUUCGAGGUAGGUUAUGGCUUAACUUCUUCCAAACUCGGUUGGGUAGUUAAUGCUGACCCAAAAACAUGUUAAGGGUGUGGGAACUAAUCUUGAAAAUUAUUAUCUUAAUGUGUUGUGCUCGUGUGGGGGCCUAUAUGUGAUGUUAUAGGGUUGUUUUGGAACAUUUUAUGCUAUGUGUGACAGUGUGGGGGUCCUAUGUGAUAUUGAUAGCCUUGUAUACAUCAUGAUAAUUGUAUCUUAUUUAAUGAAAAAAUGUGUUGUGGUACCAGUUGUGUGUUGGGAUAUAUUCAUACUCUAUUGGCAUAUGACUCAUGUUGGAUUUCAUGGACUAUUGAAAAUAAUGUGUGAAUAUUUGGCUCAUGUGAUGGUAUAUUUGUUUCUUAAGAAACUACUCAUUGUGGUUGGUUAUGGAAAUGCUCAUUAUUUUUCGUUGUAAGCAUUACACCCUCAUACUUAUUCAACAAAUAUUGGUACCACCGUGAAAAUACUGAGAAACAUUAGGAACACUUCUUUUUGACAAAAAAUAUGGCAUAUUAUAAAACACUUUUAGUGGGAUGUGCCAAGAAAGAGAUAUGGAUAUAUGUUUAAUGUAUAUUGUUUAAUGAAUCUAUCAUGGGUUCUAUGUCUUGUAUCUUUUGAUUCACAGGUGUAUAUGAAGAUU